Molecule: unclassified non-coding RNA, 267 nt
Filed under: plant metagenome
Description: partial contains small subunit ribosomal RNA, internal transcribed spacer 1, and 5.8S ribosomal RNA
Source: RNAcentral
UUUCCGUAGGUGAACCUGCGGAAGGAUCAUUGUCGUACAAAAUGUGAGGGGUAUGCGAGGGCUGUCGCUGACCCAAAAGUCGUGCACGCCCGAGUGUGUCCUCUUGCAUAAUAAUCCAUCUCACCCUUUGUGCAUCACCGCGUGGGCACCCUUCGGGAUCAUCUCGGAGGGGGGUUCGCGUUUUCACACAAACCCCCCUUUUAAAAUGGUAGAAUGACCACAUUUAUGCAAUCAAUACAACUUUCAACAACGGAUCUCUUGGCUCUC